RNAcentral lists this long non-coding RNA (663 nucleotides) under Ictidomys tridecemlineatus (thirteen-lined ground squirrel). Its description in RNAcentral is "lncRNA (ENSSTOG00000031494.1)". Lineage: Eukaryota; Metazoa; Chordata; Mammalia; Rodentia; Sciuridae. The record is from RNAcentral.
CCCAUGGUGAGCAGAGUUGUGCUGCUUUUCCUGCAGGAAGUGGUCUCACACAGGGAGAUCCUAGCACAGAUACCCUAGGAACAGGAACAGAUUUCCUUUGAUUGCCACUUCUUGCCUUUCCGGAUGAAUCAGAAAAUAAUUUGAUUGGACGAGUUAAGCACUUAGCCUGUGCCUGAUGCAUGCUGAGAUUUCAGUCUUCAUGAACUCAGAUGGCAUAAGCCACAAGCUCUCAUGGCUGGUCCCUUCCAGGGCUCAAGGCUGGGAAACUAUGAGGUCUGAGUAUGUCAUCCAGUUACAUGGGAGCACACAGACAAGUGGAAGAUACUCUGGCUGUCAGUAUACAGAGGGUGUCAUCAAGAGCUUCGGAGUGAGGAGCAGGGGAGCCCCAGACCCAGGAAGUUGCUGUUCUGGAGAGUGCUGGUGGAGGCCCUGGGCCACAGUGUCAGGAACAGCCGCAGAGCUGAUGAUCAGCUCAUGCCUGGCACAGAUUAAAGCACACCUUCUCAUCGUUCUUCUUCUUUUAAAAUAAAAAUACUGUAUUUACUUAGAAGCAUUCAGAAUGUCAGCAAAACUAUGUCUUUUUUUUUUGCAAUUACAGAAUGAUGUUCAGUUAUUAAUUAUUUCAUAUAAGGUGCAUCAGAUAAAACCAAAGAUGAAGCGACU